Non-coding RNA from Meleagris gallopavo (turkey), 1457 nucleotides. NCBI's taxonomy places the organism in Eukaryota, Metazoa, Chordata, Aves, Galliformes, Phasianidae. The record is from RefSeq and is a predicted model, not a curated record.
AGGAGCCAGAUGACACCAAUGACCACUUUGGUGGCGGUGGCUGAGAGCCGGGGCUGCAGCGGGUGGAUGAUGGCCAUGUACCUGCAAGAACUCAGUGGGACUCAAGACUGCUCCAUUUGCCAGCAGUUUUAUAUAUCUACUGCACUGAAGGACACAACUUCAGGCCAGAUGCUUUCCUUUUGGUGACGUAGGUAAUGCCAUUUGCUGUUGUUUUAAAUAUUUUAUUGUGUUUCGGACUGGGGGGGGGGGUUGUUACCAUGGUGAAACAAUAGCAACUGAGUACAGCGUUGUAGCAGGGUAGCUCUGAGUGUAGCAAGAUGGCUACACUGCCUCAAAUGCACUAUUAAUUGCAUCUGGAAAGCUGGAGUCUGCCUAUACAGAAUGAACAUGACACAUUUCUUUUUUUGCCAAAUGCAAACAGAAGAGGACCAAAGCCCAGAACUGGCAGUAGGCUGGGGAGGAGGCAGAGGUCCCUCCCAGUGUUCAUUGCAUUGCUGAUAGCGAUGGGAUGGGAGAGGAGGAUCCAAAGCACAGCACAGCCCUCUUGGGGGGCUCUGUGACCUCACCAAAUGCUUAAGGAAAGCAGAUAGCCCUAUGGCACCAUUUAGAGCUGGGGAAUGAAUGGGGGAAACGCAGGGCUGAUAAAUUUGAGAUCUGCUGCACUCAGUGCAUGUGCUAAUCAGGCUGAGCCAUCGAAGCGAAGCGAAGAACAAACUAAGAGCUAAAUUAGGAAAGCCAUCAAAUAAGCAGAAUAUCUCCCCUCCAGCAGCUUGUGCCAAUGCUCUGCUUGUAGCCGAGCACCUCAGAGGCACGUCUAACACGUGAGCUCUUGCACUGCCCAGCCACCCACCAGCCUGUUGCUAUUUCAUCUUCAUCACAUAUUUAUCACAGCAGAAGAGGAAGAAAAAAAGGAUGCCAGUUCGCUUUUGACCUGCUGAAUUCAGCUUGUCCCCCCAAGCUCCCAUCCCUCCCAUUUGCUCUUCUUCCAAAUCCCAUCCCAGCAGGGCACGGUUACACAUUGUCAGGCGCGAAUCAAAGUUCUGCCCUGCAAGCCCCAGAAGACCAUUAAGUCAAGAUUAAAAGAACUUGUGCUAUAUUAGGGCGUAAAUGACUAAUUAAUAUGUCUGCGCACUGAUGUAAUUUGUCCUCUCCAGAGGGUUUCUAUCUGCAGUAAUUGCCUCUUGGGGAAGGCACGGGGUCAUUGAGCUGGUGAAUGUAUUCCUGGUAUUCAGCUGGUUCAUCUAAACUGGCAGUUCAAGCUUGCAAGGGUAAAUAAUUUUCCAAGCCAGCUUUUCUGUUGCAUAUAGUAUGGGGUUGUGGAGAUAUGAACUGGUCUCAGCUGCAGGCUGGUGGCUUUAGGAGCUGUGGAGGUGAAGGAAGCUUUGCAGGUUUGGUGCUUCUGCAGCUCCUGCUGGCACAUGCAUGGAUUUCGAGACACUUAAUGGAGUGUGAUUUAA